GUGAGUGUUUGCCCGCAUGUGUGUCUGUGUCUGUGCAGAGACUGAGGAGGCCAGAAAGUCCCUUGGACCUAAGCCACAGAGUGGGUGCUAGGCCAGUGCCCAAGUCCUCUGGAGGAACAGCGGGAUUGCCCCUUUGAGCCACACUCCUGCCUUGUGUACAACCUGUGUGCUCUAUAGUCCGAGAAGAACCAACAUGGCCUGUCAUCCUGUGUCACCUUUGAGACAGUGUCUCUCAGAGCCCAGAGCUAGGAUGGCAGCCAGCGAGCCCUGGAGAACCACCCGUGCUCCUGGCACAAUGUUGGGUUACAGCAAAAGCCGUGGUGACCUUGAGGCCUGCCCUGGAUGAUCCAGAAAGCUCAGCCCCCUUCCGAGUUCUCUGCUCCUGUGAGAGCCUUCCACUUGCAGAGAAGACAGGAACCUCUGUGCAAAGCGCAGCCUGGGGACCUUUCCUCCCCUCCUCCUCCUGGAAUCCCGGAUCGCUGCCCAGGUGGGUUUGUAGAGCCAUCGUCCCUCAGACGCAACCACAGGCCACAGUACGUGGCUGAGUCAACCGCACAUUCUUUCUAGCCGGCUGUCCCUCCCUCCUCACUGUCCGAGGACCUCGGGCCUCAAGCUCAGGCUCCAGCGGGGCCAGGCGUGGGCGGCUGUUACCAGCUCCGUAGACCACCUUACCCGCGCCCUCAGAUCUGUGACAUCAUCUCCCAGAGCAGAGAAACUGCACAGGGUCAAGCCGAGGGUCCCGAGCUGGAGAUAAUCAGGGACUUGCUACUUGCUGUCAUCAGUCUGGUCCUCAGAAGGACGCAGGGAGGUGGAAGGCAGACAGACUGGGUGACACUGCACUGCUGGCUCCAGAGGAGGAGGAGGAGGACAGGGUUGCAAGCCAAGGAGUGCAGGGCCUCGGCUACUGUGAGGGAACGCCCUCCGUGCUUCCUGCAAGCCUGGCCUGCAGCCAAGGGACGCCU
This is a long non-coding RNA of Apodemus sylvaticus (European woodmouse), 962 nucleotides long. RefSeq lists it as uncharacterized. Lineage: Eukaryota; Metazoa; Chordata; Mammalia; Rodentia; Muridae. The record is from RefSeq and is a predicted model, not a curated record. The transcript has 3 exons.